CCGUUCAGGGGUAAACCUGAGAAACCCAAAAGAUCGAAUGGGGAGAUUCAGCGUAAACUCGAUCGAUUGCCGUGUGGCCUGGUGAUGAUUCUCGCCUCGGCGAGGAUUACGCUGUCGCUCUGGUUUAUCAUUGGUCGAGUGGGCGUGCACUUCUCCCCUAGUAGGACGUCGCGACCCGUUGGGUGUCGGUCCACGGCCCGGUUGGUCGACUGUCGCUCGUGGCGUUUACGCGUCACUUUUGGCAGACCAUCGGUUGCCCGGCCGACUGCCCGGCGGUAUUGAUCAAUCGCAUGAAAGGUAUACGGCCGCAUUUUAUCUCGAUAAUGUGCGUCUCGGCUCGUCGGCAGGCUCGCCUCGCUCGGUUUUACGGACCUGGUGCCGUUACCGGGUGCUUGGUGUGGUCGUUUCGCCGACGGUGUCCUCGGACAGGCUGUUAUGUACCGGUCGGCGACGCUACUGCUUUGGGUACUUUCAGGACCCGUCUUGAAACACGGACCAAGGAGUCUAACAUGUGCGCGAGUCAUUGGGACUUGUUUAAGCCUAAAGGCGCAAUGAAAGUGAAGGUCCGCCCUAGCGCGGACCGAGGGAGGAUGGUCAGUUUCUUCUCGGAGGGCUGGCUCGCACUCCCGGGGCGUCUCGUGCUCAUUACGAGCAGAGGCGCACCUAGAGCGUACACGUUGGGACCCGAAAGAUGGUGAACUAUGCCUGGUCAGGACGAAGUCAGGGGAAACCCUGAUGGAGGUCCGUAGCGAUUCUGACGUGCAAAUCGAUCGUCGGAACUGGGUAUAGGGGCGAAAGACUAAUCGAACCAUC
RNAcentral lists this ribosomal RNA (813 nucleotides) under Aphytis sp. 23869. Its description in RNAcentral is "partial 28S ribosomal RNA". It matches the Rfam family "Eukaryotic large subunit ribosomal RNA", at positions 405 to 944 of the family's 3401-position model. Lineage: Eukaryota; Metazoa; Arthropoda; Insecta; Hymenoptera; Aphelinidae. The record is from RNAcentral. RNAcentral also lists the same sequence under 2 other names.